GUGAGGAAUAUUGGUCAAUGGGCGAGAGCCUGAACCAGCCAAGUCGCGUGAAGGAAGAAGGAUCUAUGGUUCGUAAACUUCUUUUGCAGGGGAAUAAAGUGCAGGACGUGUCCUGUUUUGUAUGUACCCUGAGAAUAAGGAUCGGCUAACUCCGUGCCAGCAGCCGCGGUAAUACGGAGGAUCCGAGCGUUAUCCGGAUUUAUUGGGUUUAAAGGGUGCGUAGGUGGUUUGAUAAGUCAGCGGUGAAAGUUUGCAGCUUAACUGUAAAAUUGCCGUUGAAACUGUCGAUCUUGAGUGCAAAUGAGGUAAGCGGAAUGUGUUGUGUAGCGGUGAAAUGCUUAGAUAUAACACAGAACACCGAUUGCGAAGGCAGCUUACUGGGAUGCAACUGACGCUCAUGCACGAAAGCGUGGGGAUCAAACAGGAUUAGAAACCCUAGUAGUCC
Molecule: ribosomal RNA, 445 nt
Filed under: uncultured bacterium
Lineage: Bacteria
Description: partial 16S ribosomal RNA
Rfam family: Bacterial small subunit ribosomal RNA
Source: RNAcentral